AAGCCUACUUAGCUAGCUAAGCAUAAGUCCAAGCAGAACAUACAUAUAAGCAGCAAAAUAUACCUCUAAUGUCACAGCAUAUUUCCAUUUCAUAAUCGAACUUUUGAACACGAAUAACAAACGUAGGUCAGAAAACACAAUUUAGCCAGUGAUAUUUCAGAAUUCAAGAUACAAAGUUAUUUGUCUAUGCAUUUUGAAUGGCAAUUUUAGUCUCCAAUCUCUUCUUUUACGGCUUAAAGGUCUACCUUUACUUUCAGGGUCCCUGUUUUCUCUCACAUCUGCCAACUUCCAUACACAGUUCUCUGAUUCUGUCUCUAUGGACUCCAGAAAAAAGAUUCCAUCCUUUUCUGGGCCAAUAGACUCUGCGCCUUCUGCAUAGCAUACUCUCAUCGGCAUUUCUUUGAAUCGACAUAAAUCAUCUGGUACCUUUAGUGUUCUCUCUGCGCCAGGAGAUGAUACCUUCAAGGCAGGAACAAUGUGAUCACAAGAAGUUAAUAUCAGGACAAUUAGAACCUUGUUUAAGCAACGGUAAAGAAGAGUUGACUAUUAAUUGCCUCAAGGGCCAAAUCAUCAGGAAUUUGUCCAAGUUUUCCAGCUUCCUCCAAUCUUUUCUUGUAUUCUUGACAGUAGCUUUCGAGCUCCUCCAUGCUCGGACACCCAUAUCUGACAAAGGAGACCAUCAACACUAAAUUAUCUAUAUUAACUAUCAAUAUAUGAAUGCAACAUAAGUCUUGCUUCACUUCUAUCCUCAAAAAGUGCAAUCUUUCUAUAGCAACAGAUCAACAAAGAUUAUUUAAACAAAUUGCUAAUAAUCUCCACAGACAAUAGAAACAAGCAAGUUGAAUAUUAGUCUGCUAGACAUAUUUAAUUUUUUAUCAUAAACUUUUGAUCAGUGGAAAAUUAGUUCUACUAGAAUUGAAAAAUGAAAACUUACUUAGUCAUUGCUGCAAAAAGAAAAAAUGAAGAAAGAUUUCUCCAUGCCUUCUAAUUUACUAGUGAAGAAAACCUUACUCAUUUGACAGCUUAUCCAGUCUCACAUAAACAUAUCCUCGAUGAGUAGUCUUGAAAGCAUAGAGUUCCAGGUCAUCAGCAAACUGCAACAAGACCUCACGGGCAAUAGAGAGAACCUGUUCACCCCAUGGGACGCCUUGCAACACGACUCCACCGCCAUCCCCACCAUCACCAGCUUGAGGCUCUACUUCCUCCUCUUCUUCCCAUCCAUCUGUUUCUCCCUCUUCAGUUGUUUCAUAUUGAAGUGGGUUUUCUUUGGUGCCAUUCUCUUGAUCAUUACUCUGGGUAGAGCUGGUGUUCAAGAGCCGAGAAGAGAAAGACGGAUAAUGGUAUACAGCAGAGAAGGGUGCUUCUCGAGAGAAACUACGCAAACGAGAAGGAGAAUGAUAAUGAGGAUUCUGAAAUUGCCGGGUUUUGAAAUUGUGGGUAAAGAAAGAGAUGAGUCUUUGGGUGGUGCAAAAAGUAGAAGAGAAGAGCGACCUGCGAGAAGUCUGUAGAAGAAGAAGAUGGUGAAGAAUCCGACCGGAGCUCAUUUU
RNAcentral lists this unclassified non-coding RNA (1547 nucleotides) under Hevea brasiliensis (rubber tree). The record is from RNAcentral. Lineage: Eukaryota; Viridiplantae; Streptophyta; Magnoliopsida; Malpighiales; Euphorbiaceae.